UACGUAGGCAGCGAGCGUUGUUCGGAGUUACUGGGCGUAAAGGGUGUGUAGGCGGUUGUUUAAGGUUGGGGUGAAAUCUCCCGGCUCAACUGGGAGGGUGCGCCGAAUACUGAAUGACUUGGAGUGCGGGAGAGGAAAGUGGAAUUCCUGGUGUAGCGGUGAAAUGCGUAGAUAUCAGGAGGAACACCGGUGGUGUAGACGGCUUUCUGGACCGUAACUGACGCUGAGACACGAAAGCGUGGGUAGCAAACAGG
RNAcentral lists this ribosomal RNA (254 nucleotides) under uncultured bacterium. RNAcentral describes it as "partial 16S ribosomal RNA". It matches the Rfam family "Bacterial small subunit ribosomal RNA", at positions 524 to 776 of the family's 1533-position model. The record is from RNAcentral.